GCAUAUCAAUAAGCGGAGGAAAAGAAACCAACAGGGAUUGCCCCAGUAACGGCGAGUGAAGCGGCAACAGCUCAAAUUUGAAAUCUGGCCCCCAGGGUCCGAGUUGUAAUUUGUAGAGGAUGCUUUUGGCGCGGCGCCUUCCGAGUUCCCUGGAACGGGACGCCAUAGAGGGUGAGAGCCCCGUCUGGUUGGAUGCCUAGCCUCUGUAAAGCUCCUUCGACGAGUCGAGUAGUUUGGGAAUGCUGCUCUAAAUGGGAGGUAUAUGUCUUCUAAAGCUAAAUACCGGCCAGAGACCGAUAGCGCACAAGUAGAGUGAUCGAAAGAUGAAAAGCACUUUGAAAAGAGGGUUAAAUAGUACGUGAAAUUGUUGAAAGGGAAGCACUUGUGACCAGACUUGGGCCCGGUUAAUCAUCCAGCGUUCUCGCUGGUGCACUUUGCCGGCCCAGGCCAGCAUCAGUUCGCCGUGGGGGAUAAAGGCUUCGGGAAUGUGGCUCCCUCGGGAGUGUUAUAGCCCGUUGUGUAAUACCCUGUGGCGGACUGAGGUUCGCGCUCCGCAAGGAUGCUGGCGUAAUGGUCAUCAGUGACCCGUCUUGAAACACGGACCAAGGAGUCGUCUUCGUAUGCGAGUGUUCGGGUGUCAAACCCCUACGCGUAAUGAAAGUGAACGCAGGUGAGAGCUUCGGCGCAUCAUCGACCGAUCCUGAUGUUCUCGGAUGGAUUUGAGUAAGAGCAUACGGGGCCGGACCCGAAAGAAGGUGAACUAUGCCUGUAUAGGGUGAAGCCAGAGGAAACUCUGGUGGAGGCUCGCAGCGGUUCUGACGUGCAAAUCGAUCGUCAAAUAUGGGCAUGGGGGGCGAAAGACUAAUCGAACCUUCUAGUAGCUGGGUUUCCGCCGA
This 896-nucleotide ribosomal RNA is filed under the name Niesslia ilicifolia. RNAcentral describes it as "LSU rRNA". It matches the Rfam family "Eukaryotic large subunit ribosomal RNA", at positions 38 to 964 of the family's 3401-position model. The record is from RNAcentral. Lineage: Eukaryota; Fungi; Ascomycota; Sordariomycetes; Hypocreales; Niessliaceae.